AUGUGGAGAGUGAAGUUUCUGUUUCAUCAAGGCCGGGUCGGACUUGAUGUUUGAAAUACUGACCGACAGCUCAGAUUUAACUGUCUGUAGUUCCGUUUUGAUGGAUGUUAAACUUUCACUCAAAGCCGCCAGGAGCUGAGUCUUUAAAAUAACCACCAUCUCGUUACAGAGUGAAAGCAGCAGUUCCUCCUGAAGGUCAGAGAUUGCAGCAUCUGAGGACCUCUUCAAAAGAAGACGUAGUUGAUGAAGGCGUUCUGGAGCAGGACCAGAAAGACCACGACCAAGCAGCCUUGAGAUCUUAGGCAGCGUCUCCCUCAGGUCCCUCUCUAUCUCCACACAUCCACCAACCACUGGAACUCAUCUCCAAAGUUCUGCUGGGCCAGCUCAGCUUCCCCUCAGAAGAAGUGCUGCCACCUGCCAGAUGAAGGAGCCUUCUGAGAGGCAGCUGGCAUCGUGAUUGGACUGUACUUUGGUCUGUUCCAAUCCAGCUUCAGCUCCAGAGACGGCAGGCGGGACGAGUCAACGGAGGCCUGGUGGACGAAGACAUGCAGCUGAGUACAAUCCAGAAAACAACAGAGGAGGAGUGCAGCGGCCCAGGACCAGAACAACCAGAAUAGCAUGACCAAAGAACUACAGACUCUUCACAACCUGCUCAAACUCUUGGUACAGGACCUCACCACACGGGUCAAGAAGGUUUCUGUCUCAUUUCUACUCUGAAGCUCACCUUCUCCUGCUCAAACUGCUGACAAAUGUUUCUGCUGCUCUAAAGUCUGGUCUCCAGAAGUUCCUAAAAACUCUCAAAGUCUCUUCUGCUGCAGGUUGCUUUGUAGAACUGUUGCAGAAAACCUCACUAAACCACAUGGAGGGGCCUCAAGAUAGUCGUCCAAAUGAAACCAUACAAAAACCAAACUAGCACAACCCAAACGCUAAAGUCUCCUGCAGCCUACCAGAGAACCUCUGAGAACAGAGAAUCAGGACAGGAACUCUUACCUUCUGGACAACCAACGUUGGUUCACAAACAAGAAUACAGAACGUGUCUGACCAGAAACCUCUAAAGACUCACUACAGCCAAGAUAAAGACACAACUCAGCUGCAACAAAUCCACUAAUCACUGCACACAUUAGCACCAUGUGCUAACUGUGGCUAAAGAACCACAUUUGCCAAGAUAACUAUUCAGUACAAAGCCCUAAAACACACCAAGAAACACAUUAAAGACGAUUUUACUGCUGGAAGAUGCAAGCCAACGCCUAAAGAACAAACUAAAGCAACGGAACCAAACCCGGUUCAGUGCUGAAGAGAAGCAGAGGAAAUGUUUGGCUGCAGCUAAAUAAAGCAGGAAGACACUGAGCUGCUCAGGUGUUCCUGAUAACACCAAGCAGCCACCUGGACAGCCAAUAGGAACACAGCUUACUGGAAGUCCAGAGGGCUGGCUUAGUGAAGGAAAUUUAGUUUAAAGUUGAAGCACAAAGUUAACAAAGAAAGUUGAAAACCACCUUCUGAUCCCUGAACACAAAGAACACCUGAACAUGUGAAACUGGUUCCAUAGUAGAACCAUCAUUGUAAAAACGUCAUAGUAUGGCGUUAGGACCCGGUUGUCUAGGGUCGCUGAUGAGCAACACAAAAACAGGACAAACGCUGCUUUCCAGGGGGUUAGGAGGCUAUUUAUUUGAAAGAGGAAGUUUACAACAACACAACAUGUGAGCAGAAAAAUCACAAAGUCUGUCUUUAGUUCAGCUGAAAAUAUUAGUUUUUGUCUUUUUAUUGACCAAACUUUUCAGGAAGUAGAUGAAGAAUAAUUAAAGCUCUCAUGUAGAAGUCCAACUUAUUUUGGAUCCUUGUGGAGAGUUUAAUCUUAGAGUUUGUAAAGCUGUUGUGUUUUUAGAGUCACAUGGAUUGUUUUGACAUUUAAUAACCAAGUCGUGAAAUAAAAUUACAGUUGUGGAUUUCUGUCAUUUAGUCUGGACUAAACAAAUAACAGCAGCAUAAAUCUCAAACGUCAUUAUGAGGAGUCUGGAUUGAGUUUUCUCACUUGAUAAUGAUCAAAACAUGAAGUU
Molecule: long non-coding RNA, 2054 nt
Organism: Amphiprion ocellaris (clown anemonefish)
Lineage: Eukaryota; Metazoa; Chordata; Actinopteri; Pomacentridae
Exons: 3
Source: RefSeq, a predicted model, not a curated record